This 1077-nucleotide long non-coding RNA is filed under the name Homo sapiens (human). RNAcentral describes it as "HSALNT0344584". Lineage: Eukaryota; Metazoa; Chordata; Mammalia; Primates; Hominidae. The record is from RNAcentral.
AAAGAGUCGCAGUGCACGCUCUGCGGGGAGCCGGAAGGUAUCUGGUAUCCGGGGCUGUGGAAUUGCUUCAGAGGAACCCAUUAAAAUGAUCCCAUCAGUAAUUGAGGUGCAGCACGGAGAGGAGACAGUGAGAGUGUGCAGGUGUGUGGACCGUCACCUGGGCUCCAGCGCUAACGUAAAGAUGUGAGGAUUUGCUGCAUGACAAGACCACAGUCCCCACGCAAACCACGAGCUGUCAACUCACCGCUUUCAGUGUUGCCUGUUUCUCUCAAUUCUUUUUAUUGCUCUUCUGUCCAUCACAACACAUUUUUCCUAUCUUGUUCAUUCGUUGUUUAUUCUUUAUUAUUAUUGUUAUUAUUAUUUUGCUCUGUCACCCAGGUUGGAAUGAAGUGGCACCGUCUCAGCUCAGUGCAGCCUCAGCUGCCUGACCCUCCCACCUCAGCCUCCCGAGUAGCUGGGACCACAGGCAGGUGCCACCACGCCCAGCUAAUUUGCGUGUUUAUUGAGAGAUGAGGUCUCACUGUGUUGCGUAGGCUGGUCUGGAACUUCUGGCCUCCCACCUCAAAGUGCUGGGAUUACAGGCAUGAGCCAGAGCUUCUUUUCUCCUCAUUCUUGACCUUCUGUGUUCCUUUACUUUGUUUUUGCCUGCCCAUCUUUGCACCAGAUUCUUAGGGCUCAAAGCCAGCAAAUGCCAGGUUCUUGGCUCCACCUGCAUCCCGAUUUAUUUCCCUUGCUUUUUGGUGUUUUUCCAUAAUUUAGCACUAUCAUGCCCAUGCCAUUUAACAGGUUAUCUGUAGUAUAAAUUCUGCCAUAUUUUUUAUGUAAUUGAAUUCCACGUGGCUGGAAUGAGGAAACUUGGCUCUUGCAUCGUAUUUUUCUGAGUGUUCUGUUGUGUUGGUCACGUUCCCAAUGGCUCCCAUCGUGGACUGAGAAUAUAAGUAGAUGACUAAACUAGAGGUCACACAUCUCAAUAUCUACCAUAUGAAUUGUUUGCCAUGAUUCAUUGUUAAAAAAUAAAACAGUGCAUACAUUUAUUUUUUUAAUAAUGUCUUUUGAUUUAUUUUUCUCAAAAAGCUC